This 363-nucleotide RNase P RNA is filed under the name bacterium. RNAcentral's name for it is "RNase P RNA component class A". It matches the Rfam family "Bacterial RNase P class A". Rfam says of the family: Ribonuclease P (RNase P) is a ubiquitous endoribonuclease, found in archaea, bacteria and eukarya as well as chloroplasts and mitochondria. The record is from RNAcentral. RNAcentral also lists the same sequence under 1 other name.
UGGGCUGGAUGUAUAGUCGCGGUGCUUUUUUGCACUGAGGAAAGUCCGAACUCCAUAGGGCAGGAUACCGGAUAACUUCCGGAUGGUGAAAGCCAUGGAAAGUGCCACAGAAACUAUACCGUUCAGCACUAACAUGCAGAGCAUGUAAGUGCUGGAUAAGGGUGCAACGGUGAGGUAAGAGCUUACCGCGGCAAUGGUAACAUUGCCGGCAAAGGUAAACCCUAUCCGGAGAAAGUCUAAAUAGGGGAUAAGAAAUGACCCGUUUCAUUUGAAUCCCGGGUAAGGCGUAUGAGGUAGAUGGUAACAUCUAUCCCAGAUAAAUGACUAUAAUAACAGAAUUCGGCUUACAAUCCAGCCUUCCUA